Molecule: ribosomal RNA, 377 nt
Filed under: uncultured bacterium
Lineage: Bacteria
Description: bacterial SSU rRNA
Rfam family: Bacterial small subunit ribosomal RNA
Source: RNAcentral
GUAGUCCACGCCUUAAACUAUGGAUACUUGGUGUUGGAGGUAUUGACCCCUUCAGUGCCGAAGCUAACGCGUUAAGUAUCCCGCCUGGGAAGUACGGUCGCAAGAUUAAAACUCAAAGAAAUUGACGGGGGCCCGCACAAGCGGUGGAGCAUGUGGUUCAAUUCGAUGCAACGCGAAGAACCUUACCUAGAUUUGACAUGUAUUGGAAGACUCGUAGAAAUACGGUCGCUCGCAAGAGUCGAUACACAGGUGCUGCAUGGCUGUCGUCAGCUCGUGUCGUGAGAUGUUGGGUUAAGUCCCGCAACGAGCGCAACCCUUGCCUUUAGUUGCCAGCAUUUAGUUGGGCACUCUAAAGGGACUGCCGACGUUAAGUCGGA